This 1049-nucleotide long non-coding RNA is filed under the name Callithrix jacchus (white-tufted-ear marmoset). RNAcentral's name for it is "lncRNA (ENSCJAG00000079732.1)". The record is from RNAcentral. Lineage: Eukaryota; Metazoa; Chordata; Mammalia; Primates; Cebidae.
GGGGACGGGCUAUAUAGGAGUGACAUUUUACAGGCAUAGAGAAUAACCAACAACAAGAGGUCCAGUCAUUUAUUCACCAUUGCAUAAAGAUGUAUUCAAGAAGCAGGUAGAAUUCUGGUAUUUCUGGACCACCAUUAGGAAGACAAAAAGUGUUAUACAAUGACGACAUAGACCAGGGGUGGUAUUCUUAGCACUUUGAGAGGCCCAGGGGGUCGGAUCACCUUAGGUCAGGAGUUCAAGACCAGCCUAGCCAACAUGGUGAAAUCUCAUUUCUACUAAAAAAAAAAAAAAAAAUUAGCAGAGUGUGGUGGUGGACGUCUGUAAUUACAGCUAUCCAGGAGGCUGAGGCAGGAGAAUCUCUGGAACCCAGAAGGCGGAGGUUGCAUUGAGCUGAGAUCGUGCCACUGCACAGAGAGAGACUCCAUCUCAAAAAAAAAGGGGGGGUGCAUCAUAAGAUCUACCAGAAUAUCUUUGUCAAAUCUUCACCAUGAGAAGCUUGGGGAGUUCCUGAAUGUAGUGACCGCAAAAGAAGCCUCCUGGGACUGCAGCUCCCAGGACUUUCUCCCUCUCAGGCUUGUUCACACACUUGGCCUCCAGCAACUUGUCAAAGUGAUCAUAGAUGUGUCCCUACUUGUUUAUGACUUCUUGGCUUCUUGGCUUCUGCUCUAGGUAAGAAGAUCUCAGUUGUGUUACUCUGAGUGAGUUUCUCUCCAUCUUUCAGGUUGGCCAUUAGCCUUUUGACAUCAGUUCCCUGAAGCGUCCACGAAAAGUUACUGACUUUCAGUUUGUCAAGUGUUUCCUUGUUGUAAAGAUGGGAUUAAUGACUUCCAAGCCUGUACAUGUGGGUGUUAAAACUGGGAGUCCACUCCCAUUGUUUUUUUAACUGAUGUAUAAAUUUGUACAGGAUUAGUAAUAUUAAUUCUAAAUAUAUAACACAUACAAAGAAAAAUUACAAUGAAGACUUGGCAAUCCAUAUAUACAGUAUAAUAUUUUAAAAUAUCCUUUCUGUAAAUUAAGGACAAAAGAUAACACUUCUAAGUAUACAACAA